Magnolia sinica is the source of this 323-nucleotide long non-coding RNA. RefSeq lists it as uncharacterized. Lineage: Eukaryota; Viridiplantae; Streptophyta; Magnoliopsida; Magnoliales; Magnoliaceae. The record is from RefSeq and is a predicted model, not a curated record. The transcript has 3 exons.
AGAGUUACACCAAUGGUACAAGCGGUGCAGGACCCACGAUGAGGUUGUAUUGUCCGCACCACCGCACGUGAUUAUAGACGACUGGCAGAUACUUUGUAAGAGAUUUUCGUCUGAGGCUUUUCAGAAGAGGAGCAGAAUAAAUUCUGCGAACAAGGAAAAGUUACAAGUGAACCACGUAGCUGGUUCAAAGUCAUUUGUACGACAUUAUUAUGACUUGCGAGAUUCCAUCACCGGCCAAGAGCCUAGACCAGUAGACCUCUACAGAGGGACUCACUGUCGGCAGACGACGGGAUCUUAGGUUCAUCCUAGUGCCAGCAAGAAUU